ACGUAACCGAGACGAUCUCCCAAGUUCCGUCGAGAUCCCAUUCCCCACGACAUCAAAUUACCGCGAGAUGCCCUGCCUCGAUCUGCAUGCAGUGUGGAUCCCGCAAGAUUUCAUUCAGCAAUUCCCAUCCCCCACGCAACACGCGCUGCAUCGCGCCGACGCCAUUGCUACCCGCUGACUUCUUUGCUGUAAUUUUAGGGAGAAGACGUUUGCCGUCAGUGUAACCAAGGUAAGAAUUACAAUUUCAAAACUGAAAAUGUAGAGCAUGUAAUUACAUUGUUUACAAACCAUGAUGUUAACCGAAACAUAGUUUGGCUUUUGUCACGUUAGAAUUUAAACUUCAUACUCAGAUCGCACCAUAUUUUUCCUCUUAUUUCUGGCGCCAAUGUCUAACGUUAAGCGAUAAUGCUGAAUUGGUGUUCCCUAAAUCUGCAACAGUUUGCAUUCAGGUGUUAUUACAAAUCAUACAAAUUGUUAUGACUAUACAAAUGUUUUUGCCUAAAUUAGAAUUUUAAUUUUUUUUUAAAGUAAUAAGCAUUUUUCUUACAGAAAGUAAUCGGACGUUCUUGGAUGUUGAUGCAGUGGAACAGAAAUUGGCAGACCCCACCUUCCAGAAACAAGUGGUUGCUUUGGUGGCAGAAAUUGGAGGCAGUACUGUGGAUGAAGCAACGAGAAGAAUGAGGGCCUUCCUUUUGGACCACCCCUUAUCAAGAGUUCAAUUUUGUUGGCCGGCAUGGAAAGUGAGAGUUUCGGGGGCUCAAACUGCUUGAGGUUGUAUAAGGAAGCUUGAAAAAAAUUAUCUUAACCAAAUUACCAGAAAAGAGGCAGAAAAGUCAGUGUAAAAGUGGCUAAUCAGUGACGGGAGGAAACCGUUCUGCGAAGUCACAUAGUAGAGAGCAAGAUAGGGCUGUUGGGAGAGCGAGGACAGAGGUGUGAGGAGCUGCACGGUUGGUUUGUUUGUUUGUGAAAUGUAUUUUAGAGUUUUCAGAUAUGUAUAUUUGGCAGGAGCUUCACUUUAACUUUUUUUUAAGAUGCUUGUUUUAUAAAGUUGUAAAUACACAAGUUAUAAUGGUCAUGUUCAAAUUAUUCCAACGAAACCUUGUUUAAAGCAUGCAGAAUACAAGUAUUUUUUUUUACAAGAAAUAAAGUUUUUCAGGAGCUUAAAAUUAAC
Long non-coding RNA from Onychostoma macrolepis, 1171 nucleotides. RefSeq lists it as uncharacterized. The transcript is spliced from 4 exons. NCBI's taxonomy places the organism in Eukaryota, Metazoa, Chordata, Actinopteri, Cypriniformes, Cyprinidae. The record is from RefSeq and is a predicted model, not a curated record.